ACAAAGUAACAUAUCAAAACUUAGGGAAUCGUAUUAAGUCCCGAAGAAAAGAGACUGGUUGCGAAAACAGGGUUAACGUUUCAUGUUAUGCACGAAUCAACCGCCAUGCGAAUUUAAGCAGCGUCAUAGGUAAAAAUAUAAAUGGAAAUCAAAUGCAAUAAUAUUGAUAUGUUGUCUGAAACGUAAAAAGUAAAAUCACGAA
Molecule: long non-coding RNA, 202 nt
Filed under: Mytilus galloprovincialis (Mediterranean mussel)
Lineage: Eukaryota; Metazoa; Mollusca; Bivalvia; Mytilida; Mytilidae
Source: RNAcentral